GAUGAACGCUAGCUACAGGCUUAACACAUGCAAGUCGCGGGGCAGCAUGGGGGUUGCUUGCAACCCCCGAUNGCGACCGGCGCACGGGUGAGUAACGCGUAUCCAACCUGCCCUUCACCACGGGAUAACCCGGCGAAAGUCGGACUAAUACCGUAUGUUGUCCAUUGACGGCAUCCGAUUUGGACGAAAGGCUUGGCGGUGAAGGAUGGGGAUGCGUCCGAUUAGCUUGACGGCGGGGUAACGGCCCACCGUGGCUACGAUCGGUAGGGGUUCUGAGAGGAAGGUCCCCCACACUGGAACUGAGACACGGUCCAGACUCCUACGGGAGGCAGCAGUGAGGAAUAUUGGUCAAUGGGCGUAAGCCUGAACCAGCCAAGUAGCGUGCAGGAUGACGGCCCUAUGGGUUGUAAACUGCUUCUAUGCGGGGAUAAAGGAGUCCACGUGUGGGCUUUUGCAGGUACCGCAUGAAUAAGGACCGGCUAAUUCCGUGCCAGCAGCCGCGGUAAUACGGAAGGUCCGGGCGUUAUCCGGAUUUAUUGGGUUUAAAGGGAGCGUAGGCCGCGCCUUAAGCGUGUUGUGAAAUCCGGGUGCUCAACAUCCGGCUUGCAGCGCGAACUGGGGCGCUUGAGUGCGCUGAAAGUAGGCGGAAUUCGUGGUGUAGCGGUGAAAUGCUUAGAUAUCACGAGGAACUCCGAUUGCGAAGGCAGCCUACUGUAGCGCUACUGACGCUGAUGCUCGAAAGCGUGGGUAUCGAACAGG
This 759-nucleotide ribosomal RNA is filed under the name uncultured Prevotella sp. RNAcentral's name for it is "bacterial SSU rRNA". It matches the Rfam family "Bacterial small subunit ribosomal RNA", at positions 28 to 776 of the family's 1533-position model. The record is from RNAcentral. Lineage: Bacteria; Pseudomonadati; Bacteroidota; Bacteroidia; Bacteroidales; Prevotellaceae.